GUCCGGAGUUACUGGGCGUAAAGCGCGCGCAGGCGGCUUCAUAAGUCUGGCGUGAAAGCCCCCGGCUCAACCGGGGAGGGUCGUCGGAGACUGUGGAGCUUGAGGGCGGUAGGGGCUGGUGGAAUUCCCGGUGUAGUGGUGAAAUGCGUAGAGAUCGGGAGGAACACCUGUGGCGAAGGCGGCCAGCUGGGCCGACCCUGACGCUGAGGCGCGAAGGCGUGGGGAGCGAACGGG
This 234-nucleotide ribosomal RNA is filed under the name uncultured bacterium. RNAcentral describes it as "partial 16S ribosomal RNA". It matches the Rfam family "Bacterial small subunit ribosomal RNA", at positions 543 to 776 of the family's 1533-position model. The record is from RNAcentral.